Small nuclear RNA from Eptesicus fuscus (big brown bat), 161 nucleotides. RefSeq annotates it as U1 spliceosomal RNA. The record is from RefSeq and is a predicted model, not a curated record. Lineage: Eukaryota; Metazoa; Chordata; Mammalia; Chiroptera; Vespertilionidae. The transcript has a single exon.
AUACUUACCUGGCAGGGGAGAUGCUAUGAUCAACAGGGUGGUUUCCCAGGGCGAGGCUCAUCCACUGCACUCCGGAUGUGCUGACCCCGGCGAUUUCCCCACAUGUGGGAGACUCGCCUGCAUGAUCUGUGGCAGUGGGAGACUGUGUUCAUGCUCUCCCC